RNAcentral lists this ribosomal RNA (460 nucleotides) under uncultured bacterium. Its description in RNAcentral is "partial 16S ribosomal RNA". It matches the Rfam family "Bacterial small subunit ribosomal RNA", at positions 338 to 795 of the family's 1533-position model. The record is from RNAcentral.
CCUACGGGAGGCAGCAGUGAGGAAUAUUGGUCAAUGGGCUUACGCCUGAACCAGCCAAGUCGCGUGAGGGAAGACUGCCCUAUGGGUUGUAAACCUCUUUUGUCAGGGAGCAACGCCGGCUACGUGUAGCCGUACUGAGAGUACCUGAGGAAAAGCCAUCGGCUAACUCCGUCCCACCAGCCGCGGUAAUACGGAGGAUGCGAGCGUUAGCCGGAUUUAUUGGGUUUAAAGGGUGCGCAGGCGGAAUGCCAAGUCAGCGGUAAAAUCGAGGGGCUCAACCUCGCUGAGCCGUUGAAACUGGUGUUCUUGAGUGGGCGAGAAGUAUGCGGAAUGCGUGGUGUAGCGGUGAAAUGCAUAGAUAUCACGCAGAACUCCGAUUGCGAAGGCAGCAUACCGGCGCCCAACUGACGCUGAAGCACGAAAGCGUGGGUAUCGAACAGGAUUAGAUACCCUUGUAGUC